CCUACGGGAGACUGCAGUGGGGAAUAUUGCGCAAUGGGCGAAAGCCUGACGCAGCGACGCCGCGUGAGGGAUGAAGGUCUUCGGAUCGUAAACCUCUGUCAGCAGGGAAGAACGGUCACUGUGCUAAUCAGCAGUGAAUUGACGGUACCUGCAAAGGAAGCACCGGCUAACUCCGUGCCAGCAGCCGCGGUAAUACGGAGGGUGCGAGCGUUAAUCGGAAUUACGGGGCGUAAGGUGCUCGUAGGCGGGAUGUCAAGUCAAGGGUGAAAUCCCCGCGCUAAACGUGGGAACUGCCUUUGAAACUGGCAAACUGGAGUGUGUGAGAGGAUAGUGGAAUUCGAGGUGUAGGAGUGAAAUCCGUAGAUAUCUGGAGGAACAUCAAUGGCGAAGGCGACUAUCUGGCACAUAACUGACGCUGAGGAGCGAAAGCGUGGGUAGCAAACAGGAUUAGAUACCCCUGUAGUC
Molecule: ribosomal RNA, 465 nt
Filed under: uncultured bacterium
Lineage: Bacteria
Description: partial 16S ribosomal RNA
Rfam family: Bacterial small subunit ribosomal RNA
Source: RNAcentral